AGUCAACAUGCCCAGGGGACGUGGAUAACCUCGGGAAACUGAGGAUAAACCACGAUAGGCCAUGAUGUCUGGAAUGACUUAUGGCUCAAAUCUACAUGGCCCCUGGAUUGGACUGCGGCCGAUCAGGCUGUUGGUGAGGUAAUGGCCCACCAAACCUAAAACCGGUACGGGCUCUGAGAGGAGAAGCCCGGAGAUGGGCACUGAGACAAGGGCCCAGGCCCUAUGGGGCGCAGCAGGCGCGAAACCUCUGCAAUAAGCGAAAGCUUGACAGGGUUAUUCUGAGUGAUUUCCGCUAAGGAAGUCUUUUGGCACCUCUAAAAAUGGUGCAGAAUAAGGGGUGGCAAGCCUGGUGUCAGCCGCCGCGGUAAUACCAGCACCCCGAGUGGUCGGGACGAUUAUUGGGCCUAAAGCAUCCGUAGCCGGUUCUACAAGUCUUCCGUUAAAUCCAGCUGCUUAACAGUUGGGCUGCGGAGGAUACUAUAGAGCUAGGAGGCGGG
RNAcentral lists this ribosomal RNA (497 nucleotides) under uncultured archaeon. RNAcentral describes it as "bacterial SSU rRNA". It matches the Rfam family "Archaeal small subunit ribosomal RNA", at positions 102 to 603 of the family's 1478-position model. The record is from RNAcentral.